RNAcentral lists this ribosomal RNA (274 nucleotides) under uncultured bacterium. RNAcentral's name for it is "partial 16S ribosomal RNA". It matches the Rfam family "Bacterial small subunit ribosomal RNA", at positions 523 to 796 of the family's 1533-position model. The record is from RNAcentral.
AUACGGAGGGUGCAAGCGUUAAUCGGAAUUACUGGGCGUAAAGCGUACGUAGGCGGUUAGUUAAGUUAGAUGUGAAAGCCCCGGGCUUAACCUGGGAACUGCAUUUAAAACGGGCGAACUAGAGUUGAGUAGAGGGGAGUGGAAUUUCAGGUGUAGCGGUGAAAUGCGUAGAGAUCUGAAGGAACACCAGUGGCGAAGGCGACUCCCUGGACUCGAACUGACGCUGAGGUACGAAAGCGUGGGUAGCAAACGGGAUUAGAAACCCCAGUAGUCC